This 541-nucleotide ribosomal RNA is filed under the name uncultured Ascomycota. RNAcentral's name for it is "eukaryotic LSU rRNA". The stretch from base 190 to 342 matches the Rfam family "5.8S ribosomal RNA". The record is from RNAcentral. Lineage: Eukaryota; Fungi; Ascomycota.
CUUGGUCAUUUAGAGGAAGUAAAAGUCGUAACAAGGUUUCCGUAGGUGAACCUGCGGAAGGAUCAUUACAAAUCUUUGGGGACUGGUCGCCGUGAAUAACGGUGUGCUGGUUUCACAUUAGCACAAGGUCGCAAGGCCUUGAUGUUUACGCUUGUUUGUUUGACAGAGUUAGUUGAGAAUAAUAAAGACAACUUUUAACAAUGGAUCACCUGGCUCUUGUAUCGAUGAAGAACGCAGCAAAGCGCGAAAUGUAGUGAACAUAGCAGCACAAUUGUGAAUCAUCGAAUCUUUGAACGCACAUUGCGCCUCCGGUAGCUCGGAGGCAUGCCUGUCUGAGCGUCAUUUAAAACCAUGGACCCAGGAUUGGGUCCGUAUUGGGCGUCGCCCCCCCCUCCAGAGUGGCGCGUGGCCUCAAAGACAUUGGUCUCACAUGCGGACGAGCUCCCCUGGGACAGACCGCGUGGAGACCCUAAGCAUCUGACUUUGAUCUCAGAUCAGGUAGGACUACCGCCUGAACUUAAGCAUAUCAAUAAGCGGAGGA